GACGAACGCUGGCGGCGGGCUUAACACAUGCUUUUCGAACGGAAAGGCCCUGCUUUUGUGGGGUGCUCGAGUGGCGAACGGGUGAGUAACACGCGAGUAACCUGCCCUUGACUUUGGGAUAACUUCAGGAAACUGGGGCUAAUACCGGAUAGGAGCUCCUGCUGCAUGGUGGGGGUUGGAAAGUUUCGGCGGUUGGGGAUGGACUCGCGGCUUAUCAGCUUGUUGGUGGGGUAGUGGCUUACCAAGGCUUUGACGGGUAGCCGGCCUGAGAGGGUGACCGGCCGCAUUGGGACUGAGAUACGGCCCAGACUCCUACGGGAGGCAGCAGUGGGGAAUAUUGCACAAUGGGCGGAAGCCUGAUGCAGCAACGCCGCGUGCGGGAUGACGGCCUUCGGGUUGUAAACCGCUUUCGCCUGUGACGAAGCGUGAGUGACGGUAAUGGGUAAAGAAGCACCGGCUAACUACGUGCCAGCAGCCGCGGUGAUACGUAGGGUGCGAGCGUUGUCCGGAUUUAUUGGGCGUAAAGGGCUCGUAGGUGGUUGAUCGCGUCGGAAGUGUAAUCUUGGGGCUUAACCCUGAGCGUGCUUUCGAUACGGGUUGACUUGAGGAAGGUAGGGGAGAAUGGAAUUCCUGGUGGAGCGGUGGAAUGCGCAGAUAUCAGGAGGAACACCAGUGGCGAAGGCGGUUCUCUGGGCCUUUCCUGACGCUGAGGAGCGAAAGCGUGGGGAGCGAACAGGCUUAGAUACCCUGGUAGUCCACGCUGUAAACGGUGGGUACUAGGUGUGGGGUCCAUUCCACGGGUUCCGUGCCGUAGCUAACGCUUUAAGUACCCCGCCUGGGGAGUACGGCCGCAAGGCUAAAACUCAAAGGAAUUGACGGGGCCCCGCACAAGCGGCGGAGCAUGCGGAUUAAUUCGAUGCAACGCGUAGAACCUUACCUGGGUUUGACAUGGAUCGGGAGUGCUCAGAGAUGGGUGUGCCUCUUUUGGGGUCGGUUCACAGGUGGUGCAUGCCUGUCGUCAGCUCGUGUCGUGAGAUGUUGGGUUAAGUCCCGCAACGAGCGCAACCCUUGUUCACUGUUGCCAGCACGUUAUGGUGGGGACUCAGUGGAGACCGCCGGGGUCAACUCGGAGGAAGGUGGGGAUGACGUCAAGUCAUCAUGCCCCUUAUGUCCAGGGCUUCACGCAUGCUACAAUGGCUGGUACAGAGAGUGGCGAGCCUGUGAGGGUGAGCGAAUCUCGGAAAGCCGGUCUCAGUUCGGAUUGGGGUCUGCAACUCGACCUCAUGAAGUCGGAGUCGCUAGUAAUCGCAGAUCAGCAACGCUGCGGUGAAUAAGUUCCCGGGGCU
RNAcentral lists this ribosomal RNA (1346 nucleotides) under uncultured bacterium. RNAcentral's name for it is "partial 16S ribosomal RNA". It matches the Rfam family "Bacterial small subunit ribosomal RNA", at positions 28 to 1381 of the family's 1533-position model. The record is from RNAcentral.